This 253-nucleotide ribosomal RNA is filed under the name uncultured bacterium. RNAcentral describes it as "partial 16S ribosomal RNA". It matches the Rfam family "Bacterial small subunit ribosomal RNA", at positions 524 to 776 of the family's 1533-position model. The record is from RNAcentral.
UACAGAGGGUGCAAGCGUUAAUCGGAAUUACUGGGCGUAAAGCGUACGUAGGUGGAUUGAUAAGUCGGAUGUGAAAGCCCCGGGCUUAACCUGGGAAUUGCAUACGAUACUGUCAAUCUAGAGUCGUGUAGAGGGAAGUGGAAUUUCCGGUGUAGCGGUGAAAUGCGUAGAUAUCGGAAAGAACACCAGUGGCGAAGGCGGCUUCCUGGACACAGACUGACACUGAAGUACGAAAGCGUGGGGAGCAAACAGG